Molecule: small nuclear RNA, 112 nt
Filed under: Sciurus vulgaris (Eurasian red squirrel)
Lineage: Eukaryota; Metazoa; Chordata; Mammalia; Rodentia; Sciuridae
Source: RNAcentral
GUGCUCACUUCGCUUUGGUAGCACAUAUACUAAAAUUGGAAUGAUACAGAGAAGAGUAGCAUGGCCCCUGCACAAGGAUGACAUGCAAAUUUGUGAAGUGUUCCAUAUUUUU